UAUACAUUCUUGGGCUCAGACCCUAAAUCCUUUUCUGCUAAAGAGGAGACAGCAGAUCAAACAAUCCUGAUAUUCAAGACUGUCUAGAAAUUCCCAGUGUGUGGGAAACAGAUAAAUUAUGCUUGAAAUUUAACAAAGGAAAAAAUCUCAUAAGCAAAAUCAGUGUGCAACACAAAUCACAUGGCAGUGUCCAUUACUGUGGUAAAGGUUUUUGCUGAAUGAAGCAUCUCCAUUGCUCUUCCCUAAGUCUUCUCACUCUACAAUCUCCUGCCUGCUUGAAAUUCACAUUUUCCUUCAGCAAAGCUUAUUAACUUUGCAGCUGAUGAGUGAUGAUAGAGACCCAAGUACUUCCUCUGAAGCUGACUGUAUGUUUACCAUAGAAGGCUGAUAAUCCCUCCUAUUCCUGUAUGGUUACAAGUUGCCAGCACUACAGGAAAGAGAAGCCUGGAAGUACAUUAUGGGAAAAGAAGUAGAUAGGUCUUCAGUGUAAAAUCUGAAGGGGUCAUAAUGUUUAGAAAGAUCACCUGGCAGCAAUGUAGAGAAUGGACUGGAGAGAUGCUAGACCAGAAGCCAGGGGACC
This 580-nucleotide long non-coding RNA is filed under the name Homo sapiens (human). RNAcentral's name for it is "HSALNT0381778". The record is from RNAcentral. Lineage: Eukaryota; Metazoa; Chordata; Mammalia; Primates; Hominidae.